This 2395-nucleotide ribosomal RNA is filed under the name Escherichia coli. RNAcentral describes it as "partial 23S ribosomal RNA". It matches the Rfam family "Bacterial large subunit ribosomal RNA", at positions 420 to 2798 of the family's 2925-position model. The record is from RNAcentral. Lineage: Bacteria; Pseudomonadati; Pseudomonadota; Gammaproteobacteria; Enterobacterales; Enterobacteriaceae.
GGACACGUGGUAUCCUGUCUGAAUAUGGGGGGACCAUCCUCCAAGGCUAAAUACUCCUGACUGACCGAUAGUGAACCAGUACCGUGAGGGAAAGGCGAAAAGAACCCCGGCGAGGGGAGUGAAAAAGAACCUGAAACCGUGUACGUACAAGCAGUGGGAGCACGCUUAGGCGUGUGACUGCGUACCUUUUGUAUAAUGGGUCAGCGACUUAUAUUCUGUAGCAAGGUUAACCGAAUAGGGGAGCCGAAGGGAAACCGAGUCUUAACUGGGCGUUAAGUUGCAGGGUAUAGACCCGAAACCCGGUGAUCUAGCCAUGGGCAGGUUGAAGGUUGGGUAACACUAACUGGAGGACCGAACCGACUAAUGUUGAAAAAUUAGCGGAUGACUUGUGGCUGGGGGUGAAAGGCCAAUCAAACCGGGAGAUAGCUGGUUCUCCCCGAAAGCUAUUUAGGUAGCGCCUCGUGAAUUCAUCUCCGGGGGUAGAGCACUGUUUCGGCAAGGGGGUCAUCCCGACUUACCAACCCGAUGCAAACUGCGAAUACCGGAGAAUGUUAUCACGGGAGACACACGGCGGGUGCUAACGUCCGUCGUGAAGAGGGAAACAACCCAGACCGCCAGCUAAGGUCCCAAAGUCAUGGUUAAGUGGGAAACGAUGUGGGAAGGCCCAGACAGCCAGGAUGUUGGCUUAGAAGCAGCCAUCAUUUAAAGAAAGCGUAAUAGCUCACUGGUCGAGUCGGCCUGCGCGGAAGAUGUAACGGGGCUAAACCAUGCACCGAAGCUGCGGCAGCGACGCUUAUGCGUUGUUGGGUAGGGGAGCGUUCUGUAAGCCUGUGAAGGUGUGCUGUGAGGCAUGCUGGAGGUAUCAGAAGUGCGAAUGCUGACAUAAGUAACGAUAAAGCGGGUGAAAAGCCCGCUCGCCGGAAGACCAAGGGUUCCUGUCCAACGUUAAUCGGGGCAGGGUGAGUCGACCCCUAAGGCGAGGCCGAAAGGCGUAGUCGAUGGGAAACAGGUUAAUAUUCCUGUACUUGGUGUUACUGCGAAGGGGGGACGGAGAAGGCUAUGUUGGCCGGGCGACGGUUGUCCCGGUUUAAGCGUGUAGGCUGGUUUUCCAGGCAAAUCCGGAAAAUCAAGGCUGAGGCGUGAUGACGAGGCACUACGGUGCUGAAGCAACAAAUGCCCUGCUUCCAGGAAAAGCCUCUAAGCAUCAGGUAACAUCAAAUCGUACCCCAAACCGACACAGGUGGUCAGGUAGAGAAUACCAAGGCGCUUGAGAGAACUCGGGUGAAGGAACUAGGCAAAAUGGUGCCGUAACUUCGGGAGAAGGCACGCUGAUAUGUAGGUGAAGUCCCUCGCGGAUGGAGCUGAAAUCAGUCGAAGAUACCAGCUGGCUGCAACUGUUUAUUAAAAACACAGCACUGUGCAAACACGAAAGUGGACGUAUACGGUGUGACGCCUGCCCGGUGCCGGAAGGUUAAUUGAUGGGGUUAGCCGCAAGGCGAAGCUCUUGAUCGAAGCCCCGGUAAACGGCGGCCGUAACUAUAACGGUCCUAAGGUAGCGAAAUUCCUUGUCGGGUAAGUUCCGACCUGCACGAAUGGCGUAAUGAUGGCCAGGCUGUCUCCACCCGAGACUCAGUGAAAUUGAACUCGCUGUGAAGAUGCAGUGUACCCGCGGCAAGACGGAAAGACCCCGUGAACCUUUACUAUAGCUUGACACUGAACAUUGAGCCUUGAUGUGUAGGAUAGGUGGGAGGCUUAGAAGUGUGGACGCCAGUCUGCAUGGAGCCGACCUUGAAAUACCACCCUUUAAUGUUUGAUGUUCUAACGUUGACCCGUAAUCCGGGUUGCGGACAGUGUCUGGUGGGUAGUUUGACUGGGGCGGUCUCCUCCUAAAGAGUAACGGAGGAGCACGAAGGUUGGCUAAUCCUGGUCGGACAUCAGGAGGUUAGUGCAAUGGCAUAAGCCAGCUUGACUGCGAGCGUGACGGCGCGAGCAGGUGCGAAAGCAGGUCAUAGUGAUCCGGUGGUUCUGAAUGGAAGGGCCAUCGCUCAACGGAUAAAAGGUACUCCGGGGAUAACAGGCUGAUACCGCCCAAGAGUUCAUAUCGACGGCGGUGUUUGGCACCUCGAUGUCGGCUCAUCACAUCCUGGGGCUGAAGUAGGUCCCAAGGGUAUGGCUGUUCGCCAUUUAAAGUGGUACGCGAGCUGGGUUUAGAACGUCGUGAGACAGUUCGGUCCCUAUCUGCCGUGGGCGCUGGAGAACUGAGGGGGGCUGCUCCUAGUACGAGAGGACCGGAGUGGACGCAUCACUGGUGUUCGGGUUGUCAUGCCAAUGGCACUGCCCGGUAGCUAAAUGCGGAAGAGAUAAGUGCUGAAAGCAUCUAAGCACGAAACUUGCC